GAUGAAGAACGUAGCGAAAUGCGAUACUUGGUGUGAAUUGCAGAAUCCCGUGAACCAUCGAGUCUUUGAACGCAAGUUGCGCCCGAAGCCAUUAGGCCGAGGGCACGCCUGCCUGGGCGUCACACGUCGUUGCCCCCCCAUCUACUCCUUCGGGAUUGCGGGGGGCGGAUGAUGGCCUCCCGUGCGCCUCGCCGCGCGGUUGGCAUAAAUGCCAAGUCCUCGGCGACGCACGCCACGACAAUCGGUGGUUGCGAAACCUCGGUUGCCCGUCGUGUGCGGUCGUCGCGCAUCGAGGGCUCGAAAAAAUUGCCGGGUUCCGGCUCGGCUUUCAACGCGACCCCAGGCCAGGCGGGGUUACCCGCUGAAUUUAAGCAUAUCAAUAAGCGGAGGA
Molecule: unclassified non-coding RNA, 391 nt
Filed under: soil metagenome
Description: partial contains 5.8S ribosomal RNA, internal transcribed spacer 2, and large subunit ribosomal RNA
Rfam family: 5.8S ribosomal RNA (bases 1-122)
Source: RNAcentral